GUGCCCAUAGCACAACUGGAUAAUGCGCCACCCUCCGAAGGUGGAGAUUGUGGGUUCGAAUCCCGCUGGGCACGCCA
This 77-nucleotide transfer RNA is filed under the name Alphaproteobacteria bacterium. Its description in RNAcentral is "tRNA-Arg". It matches the Rfam family "tRNA". From Rfam's summary of the family: Transfer RNA (tRNA) molecules are approximately 80 nucleotides in length. Their secondary structure includes four short double-helical elements and three loops (D, anti-codon, and T loops). The record is from RNAcentral. Lineage: Bacteria; Pseudomonadati; Pseudomonadota; Alphaproteobacteria.